UACAGAGGUCUCAAGCGUUGUUCGGAUUCAUUGGGCGUAAAGGGUGCGUAGGUGGCGCCGUAAGUCAGGUGUGAAAUUUCGGAGCUUAACUCCGAAACUGCAUUUGAUACUGCGGUGCUUGAGGACUGGAGAGGAGACUGGAAUUUACGGUGUAGCAGUGAAAUGCGUAGAGAUCGUAAGGAAGACCAGUGGCGAAGGCGGGUCUCUGGACAGUUCCUGACACUGAGGCACGAAGGCUAGGGGAGCAAACGGG
RNAcentral lists this ribosomal RNA (253 nucleotides) under uncultured bacterium. RNAcentral describes it as "partial 16S ribosomal RNA". It matches the Rfam family "Bacterial small subunit ribosomal RNA", at positions 524 to 776 of the family's 1533-position model. The record is from RNAcentral.